CUUUAACAAGUACAUGUCGACGGCAAUACGAAGACUGAUUAAAAGCACAAAGGCAAUCAAAACGUACAGGAGAACAUGCGAAGGAGACGCAUUCCUCCACGGGAGGAUGCAGUCUGUCAUGUUUCUGCUGGAAGGGACAAACUGGGACUUGAUAUCCACUACAUAAAUGCCUUCAAAGGUCGGGGCAUUUUCACGACUGUUCCAUUCCAAAAAGGAGACUUCCUUUUGGAAUACAGAGGUAAACUCAUAACAAAAGACGAAUGUGAGCGGAG
Molecule: long non-coding RNA, 272 nt
Organism: Pelmatolapia mariae (spotted tilapia)
Lineage: Eukaryota; Metazoa; Chordata; Actinopteri; Cichliformes; Cichlidae
Exons: 3
Source: RefSeq, a predicted model, not a curated record